ACUACAGGAUUCCCCUAGUAACGGCGAGUGAAGCGGGAUCAGCUCAAAUUUGUAAUCUGGCGGUCUACGGCCGUCCGAGUUGUAGUCUAGAGAGGCGUUUUCCGUGCCGGACCGUGUACAAGUCCCUUGGGAUAGGGCAUCGUAGAGGGUGAGAAUCCCGUCCACGACACGGACUCCCGGUGCUCUGUGAUGCGCCUUCAAAGAGUCGAGUUGUUUGGGAAUGCAGCUCAAAAUGGGUGGUAAAUUCCAUCUAAAGCUAAAUAUGGGCGGGAGACCGAUAGCGAACAAGUACCGUGAGGGAAAGAUGAAAAGCACUUUGGAAAGAGAGUUAAACAGUACGUGAAAUUGUUGAAAGGGAAACGCUUGGAGUCAGUCACGUCCGCCGGGACUCAGCCGGGCUUCUGUCCGACGUAUUUCUCGGUGGAUGGGCCAGCAUCGAUUUCAGCCGCCGGAAAAGGGCGAGGGGAAUGUGGCACCUCCGGGUGUGUUAUAGCCCCCCGUCGCACACGGUGGCCGGGAUCGAGGAAUGCAGCGCGCCUCAGCGGCCGGGGUUCGCCCACGCACGCGCUUAGGAUGCUGGCGUAAUGGCUUUAAACGACCCGUCUUGAAACACGGACCAAGGAGUCUAACAUGCCCGCGAGUGUUCGGGUGGCAAACCCGUCCGCGUAAUGAAAGUGAGAAGUUGGGACUCCCCUAAACAAGGAGGCACCGACGCCCGAACCAGACCUCUUGUGACGGUUUUGAGGCAGAGCGUGUAUGUUGGGACCCGAAAGAUGGUGAACUAUGCCUGAAUAGGGCGAAGCCAGAGGAAACUCUGGUGGAGGCUCGUAGCGAUUCUGACGUGCAAUCGAUCGUCAAAUUUGGGUAUAGGGGGCGAAAGACUAUUCGAACCAUCUAGUAGCUGGGUCCUGCCGA
This 915-nucleotide ribosomal RNA is filed under the name Protomerulius minor. Its description in RNAcentral is "partial large subunit ribosomal RNA". It matches the Rfam family "Eukaryotic large subunit ribosomal RNA", at positions 64 to 964 of the family's 3401-position model. Lineage: Eukaryota; Fungi; Basidiomycota; Agaricomycetes; Auriculariales; Hyaloriaceae. The record is from RNAcentral.